RNAcentral lists this non-coding RNA (23 nucleotides) under Arabidopsis thaliana (thale cress). The record is from RNAcentral. Lineage: Eukaryota; Viridiplantae; Streptophyta; Magnoliopsida; Brassicales; Brassicaceae.
CAGACCUGAUGUCGCCACCUCCU